GACGAACGCUGGCGGCGUGCUUAACACAUGCAAGUCGAACGGAAAGGCCCUGCUUUUGUGGGGUGCUCGAGUGGCGAACGGGUGAGUAACACGUGAGUAACCUGCCCUUGACUUUGGGAUAACUUCAGGAAACUGGGGCUAAUACCGGAUAGGAGCUCCUGCUGCAUGGUGGGGGUUGGAAAGUUUCGGCGGUUGGGGAUGGACUCGCGGCUUAUCAGCUUGUUGGUGGGGUAGUGGCUUACCAAGGCUUUGACGGGUAGCCGGCCUGAGAGGGUGACCGGCCACAUUGGGACUGAGAUACGGCCCAGACUCAUAAGGGAGGCAGCAGUGGGGAAUAUUGCACAAUGGGCGGAAGCCUGAUGCAGCAACGCCGCGUGCGGGAUGAAGGCCUUCGGGUUGUAAACCGCUUUCGCCUGUGACGAAGCGUGAGUGACGGUAAUGGGUAAAGAAGCACCGGCUAACUACGUG
RNAcentral lists this ribosomal RNA (468 nucleotides) under uncultured bacterium. RNAcentral describes it as "partial 16S ribosomal RNA". It matches the Rfam family "Bacterial small subunit ribosomal RNA", at positions 28 to 507 of the family's 1533-position model. The record is from RNAcentral.